UUGGUGCUCUCAGAGGCUGCUGGAGCUUGGAUUCAGGUAUGGAGAUAUGCCUGCUCAUAAUUUUCUUUGGAGAGAGUGUGAGAAAUCCUCUGAUAAUGUUGCUGCUCGUUUGGCAGUAAUCCCACUGGUUCAGGAGGCCAGAGGGCU
This is a long non-coding RNA of Eucalyptus grandis, 147 nucleotides long. RefSeq lists it as uncharacterized. The transcript is spliced from 3 exons. NCBI's taxonomy places the organism in Eukaryota, Viridiplantae, Streptophyta, Magnoliopsida, Myrtales, Myrtaceae. The record is from RefSeq and is a predicted model, not a curated record.